RNAcentral lists this long non-coding RNA (302 nucleotides) under Setaria viridis. RNAcentral describes it as "long non-coding RNA (SVIR_LNC002249)". The record is from RNAcentral. Lineage: Eukaryota; Viridiplantae; Streptophyta; Magnoliopsida; Poales; Poaceae.
GUGGUUAACAUUGUUCAUGUUUAUCUAAAAAAUCUUCACCUAACAAAUUUAAGAACACAUGAAAUCAUACAUAGGGUAAAUUAAAAAUUGUAUCAAUUAAUACACAAAGGUCAUGUACAUUUAACGCAUUACAAUACAACGUCGUAAAAUUUCUUCUUCACGAAAGUUCCUUGAUCAUGAUCGCGGCGUAAGUACGGAGCCUCUUCUUUGGAUAGCAGGAUGCUUGGAUCAACUUCAACGGCGAAUGGAAGCAUGCCAUCAAACUGAUCAUAAUCAUCUGAUUGGUCUGUUUUAUCCUCGAC